CUCCUAACCCAAUGUGAACGUUACCAAACUGUUGCCUCGGCGGGGUCACGCCCCGGGUGCGUCGCAGCCCCGGAACCAGGCGCCCGCCGGAGGAACCAACCAAACUCUUUCUGUAGUCCCCUCGCGGACGUAUUUCUUUACAGCUCUGAGCAAAAAUUCAAAAUGAAUCAAAACUUUCAACAACGGAUCUCUUGGUUCUGGCAUCGAUGAAGAACGCAGCGAAAUGCGAUAAGUAAUGUGAAUUGCAGAAUUCAGUGAAUCAUCGAAUCUUUGAACGCACAUUGCGCCCGCCAGUAUUCUGGCGGGCAUGCCUGUCCGAGCGUCAUUUCAACCCUCGAACCCCUCCGGGGGAUCGGCGUUGGGGAUCGGGACCCCUCACACGGGUGCCGGCCCCUAAAUACAGUGGCGGUCUCGCCGCAGCCUCUCCUGCGCAGUAGUUUGCACAACUCGCACCGGGAGCGCGGCGCGUCCACGUCCGUAAAACACCCAACUUUCUGAAAUGUUGACCUCGGAUCAGGUAGGAAUACCCGCUGAACUUAAGCAUAUCAAUAAGCCSGGARGAA
This 563-nucleotide ribosomal RNA is filed under the name Trichoderma sp. PPRI 16759. RNAcentral's name for it is "eukaryotic LSU rRNA". The record is from RNAcentral. Lineage: Eukaryota; Fungi; Ascomycota; Sordariomycetes; Hypocreales; Hypocreaceae.